AAUUGACGGCGCGCGCUCGAUUCAAGAUCAAUCAUGGAGUCCAGUCUGUAGAAAUAUUUUGACAUGUCAGGAUAACUUCAUUAUUCAAAAAAUUUACUACAUAGGUGUCACACUAGGGCAUCAAUCAACUUUGGAGUAGGAUAUGAACACAAUAUUUAAGGAGCAGAAGGAUUGAGGAUUAAGUCAGAUAUGGAGCGUUCCUGGAAGUACAGAAGUCCUCUACUCAAAUGUCAUUCAUGGACAGUUCAAGCUUUGUCAGAAAAAUCUUAGGAAAGCCUGUGACAACUCUGGAUUGGUGCAGGAGCGCAAUGACUGUGCAGAGGCCCAUAGUCAGGAAGAACUGGAGGAGUGAAAGGAAAGACACGAGUAUCACAUGAUGAAGAUUGCAAAGGCCAAGGAACGCAGGGCUAUAGGGGUCUACACCUCUGUGGAAGAGCUCGCAGAGUAAAACCAAUCUUCUAACACAGUAUGAUGUGAUUACAGAUGGGAUUCCAGGGAUCACUACUGAUUGUUCAAAGGACCUGAGAAGAAUUUCAUGAGAUUUUAUCUGACAAGUCCUGUUUUAUCUGACAGUUACCAUAGGAACUGUACUUCUCAGCCAAUCAAAAUCAAGGAAAGUUGUCAGAUCUGACAACUUGUAAAAAAAAAUGUUGAUGAAACACUCUCCAGUGGAGAGUUUCAUUUACAAUUGUAAUCCGAUAAACUUGUCAGAUCUGGCAACUUUCCUUGAUUUCGAUUGACUGAGAAGCAAUAUUACUGUGGUAACUGUUGGAUAAAACAGGAUUUAUCCGAUAAAUUAUCAGACAAGUUCUGCCAUGAAGCGCUUUGCUGAGGGCAAUACUUCUGGUCGAAGAAAGUAUGCCUGGUGAAGAGACGACAUUCCAGUGGGAGUUUGAAGUACAGUCAGGAAAUAUCUUAGAAGGGCUGGUCAUCUUUAUGACAAGCAUCGUUUUGACUUCUGUUUGCCACAACCUGACAAUGAAGACUGGCCUCAAGUAUGACCUGGUGGUCUGCUAUCUGAAGUCAGUGGUACGUCUUACAGGACCAAGAUUGAAUUCCAUAUCCAUAUGCAGUGACUGUUUAUCUCAAUGAGUUGUCUUUGACUUUGGUGCCAGUAUUAGUGGUGGAGAUUUUCAUCAAUAUUGGAUCAUCCGAUGGGGUUGAGAAGAUUGCGAAACAGCAGUAAACGGAGAGGAGCAGAAGUUCAAACUCUGGAAUAGCAGUUGCAGUCAGAUCAUCCAGUUCACCAAACCAGACAUCAGUGACUGGGAGAAACUCUGGGAUAGCAGUUGCAGUUCGAUCACCCAGUUCACCAAUGCAGACAUCAGUGACUGGGAGAAGCUCUGGGAUAGCAGUUGCAGUCAGAUCAUCCAGUUCACCAAAGCAGACAUCUAUGAAUGGGGAAAGAAAGUACAGUGGUUCUUUCUAGAUGUCCAUGUUCAACCAAGCUGAAAUGGGUUACCCCAACAGUACUCUUCUCUUCUAAUGGAGAACUCUUGGUUCCAUCAAGAUUGAGGUAUCAUUGUAUGACGACUCCACGACAUCACAGAUCGUUAGGGAGAGUGUUUCUCAGAUCCUUUUCAAAUCAAUCAUGAGUCCAAUGUGGUCUAUGAAGCAAACAUCAUCAAGCCAUUACAACAAGGGCAAGAAUGCUAGAAGAGGAACGAACAGAUUCCAAACUCCUGGUUAUCUUGACAAAUGUGAAGGACAGAGGCUAAAGGAAAUGAUGAAGGCAAUGAAAGCACUGGUCAAAUCACAAAUCAUGUCACUCGGUGUACAAUAUGGAUAUGCCCUAUCUGAUGUUAACCGCCUGCCAAGCACAAAUGAGAGAGAUAAUCUACCAUGGAAAAGGACAGGACACCAAUCUUGAAACCUUCAUCUACUUGAAAUGUCUGGUAUGAGCAGUUACAGGUAUUUACAUGACGUAGGAUCAAACAUUACCAACUGCCUACGAUGAUGACUGCCUGGACUGGAGAAAGCUUGGAGCACAAAAGGAUUCUGAUCAUGGCCAUCCAGCGAAGAUGCCCUUGCUUAUCUGUUGUAUCCUGAUAUAUAAAUCUUGUAUUUAUUUCUUUUUUUACCAGAGCUGAUGACAGUUUUUAUCUCGCCUGCAUAGCACAAACGAGACAAAUGUGCCUUUGAAUGAGAAUUUAGAUUUUGUUCAUUUUUUCAAAAUUAUUUAUUCAAAUUAAAUUAAGCUUUAUGGUUAUUGGUUAUAAAGAAUGGUAUGAAAUUAAACACAACUUUCUUAGUCAUGGUCAAAGGCCAUUUUUAGGGUUGAAAUAAACUUUGGAUUUUAUUAUCAGAUUAAUUUAUGUUCUCUCAUUGAAAAAAAUUCAACUUACAUGAAAGGCUUUUCAUAGGCAGCACUAUUGCUAUAUUGAAUAACAUGAGGCAGGCGAGACUGCCGGGGGCGUUCCAUUUGAUAAACCAAAACAAAUGUAAACAAGUGCAAAUUUUUUUUUCUUUUAUUUUUUCCACAUGUCUAUUUGAUACAAAAAAAUUACGUCCUGUCAAUCAAAUUGAACGAAACAAAUGUCAGUUAAAACUGUAAUAUGCAAAACAUUUUCAUUACCAAAUAUGUGACUUUACGUACAUUCGCUACACAUGAACCCCUUUUUUUAAAUGUGUUUUAUGUUGACUUUUUUGUAGCUGCAAGGGGCAGGUCCAAGCUAUUCUCUUUGCCUACAGUCCAUAGUAUCUUACGUAACCAAUGUGUCAUUAGUGAAUGCAUACUAUGUAGGGGGUGGUUAUUUGGAGUAAAACAAAUAAUUUGUGCUUAAGGUUAGGAAUGAUUUGCAUAUGGUGUAGGCUUUGGGUGUUGUAAAAAAAGCCUUGUGGAUAUUUGUUGAAUUAACUUUGUUUGCAACGUUCUCUUGAAGAAGUUAGUAUUUGGGUUAAUUUUGUGUUGACAAUUCUGCAAAAGUGGAUCCAAAGGUUUUCCAGAGUUUUUGCCUAUUGUGUUUUAUCUCUGGUUUUUUACCCUGGAUCUACUUGUCGUAGAAUUGUUUGACACAAAGACCCAACCCCCCGGGAAAAAAUAAGAUACUGUGAAUAGUACCUUAAUACAUAUUUAUUUCCCAUUAAUAUUAUUAAUAUGUUCUGUACAAUUUUGACAGUUACUUCACCAAAAUUUUUUAUAAUGUAAACAUUUUCAAUUUCAAUUGCUAAAGAGGAGACAAAGGGUAUUUCAAGUGCACGGGGAAUUUGAUGUUAUCAAUCUUUAACUUUUUUUUUUUUUAUUUAGGCCUAUCGGCAACAAGCAAAGUUGUUUACUAACCAAUUUGGUCAAUUAUUUUUAAUUUUUAUUUGACAAUUUCUUUUUAGUAUCUUCUGCAAAUAAAAUAUCAUAUUUCAGAAGUAAAUUCCUCACAAAAAAAUACAUCUUUCAGGUUUGACGGAUGAUAUAUUCUUGUCACUGAACUAUAGAAAUGGAAGUUGGAAUUUUACAAUGAGGUGUCGUCUGCUUUGAUUAUGUAAUCACGGAAUGUGCAGCCACCCUGAAUAGGAUAAAGUCGGAAGUUAAUUUAAAAUGACUUGUUUUCUACAUGAACUCUCCAUUUCAUUUGAAUAUUGUGGUUUAAAAUUACCCAGGUGAUUUGGAAUUUGUGUGAAGUAUAAGCUUCGCAAAUCUUCAAUUUCGAGAAGCGACAAAACCAAUUCUUCUAAGUUGUUUAACAACAAAUGACAGAUUGUUUAUGCUGGCAGGGUCUAACAUUAUUAUCCGCAACAAAUUCAAUGCGACAAAUGCGUUAUGCAAUGAGAUUGAGAAUGCACCAUAUGUGGACUCUCACACAUCUACACCAUUCAAACCCAAUCCAGCCUUCAUUUCAUUUUUACAUGGAUGUUUUUUUACUCGGACUGCACAUUCCACGGUUACAUUAAGAUAGCAAAUUACAUACCACUGCAAAGGGGAAUAAUGACACUUAUAAUAAUCUCAGAUUUACAUUAUAAUGAUUAGGAGGCAAUAAGAAUACCUCUCUGUAACUUAAGUUGUAUAAUUUUUGAGAGGGUUCAUUUGAUUUGUGAUCAAAGACCUAAUAUUCAAACCAUUCCAUAUGCAGCACCCCUGACACUGUAGUCUCAAAGCUUGUAAAGUAGUAUACCGUAGUAGGUUAAAUCAAGUGUUGCUUUAUUCAGUGAUAAAACACUUUAUUAGGUGUUAUUACAAAAAUAGCCAGGGAAAUUUCUUACCUAUUUCUUUGUAUUUUGGCGAUUCCAAGCAAAAGUGGACAUUCUCAAAAAUCUUAUAUUGGCUCUUUUUAAAUAAAGAUAAAAAUUUUGGAUUAAAACUAAUAUGGAAGUUCUAAAUGCAAAGGACGUUCAGCCUAAAAAAAUCUGACUUUUAUUACACAUCUCCUUAUUGGGGAAUCCAAAACGUAGAAAAAUUAUAAAUAUGUGGGACUUUUUACUUCUUUUCAAUUUGACAUCAAGCUAUUGUGUUUUUCGUCAAAUUUUCAUUUGGAUAAUCUGAAGUCCAUCAUUUUACAUCAAAUGAAAAAGAAAUAUGCAAACAUAAGUCAUAAAACAUCAAAUUUAUGGUGCUGGUCUGAAGGACAAAGUGUAAUGCAAGUGAUUCUCAGUAUACAAACUUGACAGAAUGUGUCACCUUUGUAAAACUGACAGCAUUAAGUAUAGAUUCAUAAAAGUCUAAUGCAACUGACCAUGGAUUCGCCCAUUUCUAAUUUUCUGUAGGAUUGGUAAUCAAUAUAAACAGCCUAGAAUACCUUAUUUCAAUCUUUGGAAGCAAACGUAACAUAAUAAUACAUUUAUGAAAUUUUAGCUAUUAACACUAUUUAAAAUGUAUUUGUACAUUUCAAUAAUAUUUUUGUGCAAUUCAUACGUUUCAUAACACUUAUAUGCAACUUGCACCAUUAUUUUGACGUCCUUUUAUAUUUGCAGUUAUUCUGACAGAUUUAUGUCUGCAUGCAGUUAUAGCGACACUGUUUCAAAGUUACUGAAAAAUCCAUUCAACAAAAUAGUUUUCCUGGUAUCUCACGUGUAAUACAUGUAUUAUGAAACAUGCGAAUUUGGGGUCUGGGAUGCACUUACGAAAUGAUGACUUUGACACCCUGUGUGUGUGGAUGUUGCCAGUUCGGUAUCAGAAGUUGCUAGAGACUAAAAAAAAGAAGGGCAUAAAAAAUAUCCUGCCUGCUUUCAAGGGUCAAAUCAAUGUAAAGCCUGUCUGUGUUUAUUUUUAAUUGACAUCAGAAUUAUGAAUUCAACCUUCAUAAUUCCUGACAAAGGUUUAUAGGUGAAAUAAUGCUUUUUAUAACGUAUACAUUAUCUUGGAAGUGUUUAUUGGAUGAUUUUUAUAUGAGUGAGGAACUGAUUAGAUUAUUUUGGUCACAAGGUCAAAGGUCAUGGAGGUCAUUAUUUGAAAUUGUAGAAGUAAGGUCUUUGAUACAGGCCUAUUCUUGCUCUGACAAUGGCAGAGGCAUAGAUUUGGUUAUGUGCAGUUGAUAAUCGAUCUAAUUUCAAUCUUGUUUUUAUUGAUAGGCAUAGGGUUGAAAAAAUUGUCUUUAUUUUAUCAGAUUAUUUU
Long non-coding RNA from Lytechinus pictus (painted urchin), 5542 nucleotides. RefSeq lists it as uncharacterized. NCBI's taxonomy places the organism in Eukaryota, Metazoa, Echinodermata, Echinoidea, Temnopleuroida, Toxopneustidae. The record is from RefSeq and is a predicted model, not a curated record. The transcript is spliced from 9 exons.